Molecule: long non-coding RNA, 503 nt
Organism: Planococcus citri (citrus mealybug)
Lineage: Eukaryota; Metazoa; Arthropoda; Insecta; Hemiptera; Pseudococcidae
Exons: 2
Source: RefSeq, a predicted model, not a curated record
AUACUCCUCAGCAAAUCGCUAUUAUCAACAGUCAUUCUUUUACACUGUAUCAGUUAACUAUUGCACGAAUUUCAUAUUAAGUGAAUUGUUUACACAGAUUUGCAUUCAAACAAAAUAUCAAUAUGCAGAUUAUGUAUUUCAUCGGUUUUGCGGUGAUGACGAUUUUAGCUACUAGUCUAAUGGUAAUGGCCGUACCAAAGCCCAUCAGUCCAGCUGCGCUUGCUUCAUUGGCUGGCGGUGGAAUAGGUAAAUGAAGAUGUUCGACAAAUGUAUAAAAUCUUACGUUCAUGUUAAUCCAGCGCUAUUUAUUUUCCCUAGUUUUAAAAUAUACGUAUAGCUCAGGUAUAUCAAUUUUCAAUUGACCAACUGUUUAUCUGAUUCCUGUGUUAGUAUGCAGUCUAUGGUUCUUCAAUUUUAAAGUGAAAUUUAUUUAACCCAAAUCAAGCAAUAUGUGCGCACAUAUUUUCAAUUUACGAAUAAUUAAAUAAAAAGUUCAAGCAUCA